AUUGAACGCUGGCGGCAUGCCUUACACAUGCAAGUCGAACGGCAGCACGGGAGCUUGCUCCUGGUGGCGAGUGGCGAACGGGUGAGUAAUACAUCGGAACGUACCCUGAAGUGGGGGAUAACGUAGCGAAAGUUACGCUAAUACCGCAUAUUCUGUGAGCAGGAAAGAGGGGGAUCGCAAGACCUCUUGCUUUAGGAGCGGCCGAUGUCGGAUUAGCUAGUUGGUGAGGUAAAGGCUCACCAAGGCGACGAUCCGUAGCGGGUCUGAGAGGAUGAUCCGCCACACUGGGACUGAGACACGGCCCAGACUCCUACGGGAGGCAGCAGUGGGGAAUUUUGGACAAUGGGCGCAAGCCUGAUCCAGCCAUGCCGCGUGAGUGAAG
Molecule: ribosomal RNA, 382 nt
Filed under: uncultured bacterium
Lineage: Bacteria
Description: bacterial SSU rRNA
Rfam family: Bacterial small subunit ribosomal RNA
Source: RNAcentral